AGAAUACUGGAUUCCUUCCAUUAACUGACAAGCAGAUCCAGCCCGCAAAGCAGCAGCAAACUAUCAUAGCGUCCUUCUGCCAGAGAAUUCACCAGGUCAUCACACACCAGAGACUAGUUGUAGGAACUAUCAUUGUCAUCUGUGCUGACAAGCAGGGCGAUGUGGUGGUGUGUGCUUUGAAGAGCUCUGUGUCGAGCUGACAGUUCUAACUGAA
Molecule: long non-coding RNA, 214 nt
Filed under: Struthio camelus australis
Lineage: Eukaryota; Metazoa; Chordata; Aves; Struthioniformes; Struthionidae
Description: lncRNA (ENSSCUG00000018815.1)
Source: RNAcentral